GACGUAGGAUGCAAGCGUUGUCCGGAAUUAUUGGGCGUAAAGAGUUUGUAGGCGGCAUAUCAAGUCUGGUGUUAAAGCCCGUGGCUCAACCACGGUUCGGCGCUGGAAACUGAUAAGCUAGAGUGCAGAAGAGGCAAGGGGAAUUCCCAGUGUAGCGGUGAAAUGCGUAGAUAUUGGGAGGAACACCAGUGGCGUAAGCGCCUUGCUGGGCUGUAACUGACGCUGAGAAACGAAAGCCAGGGGAGCAAAUGGG
Molecule: ribosomal RNA, 253 nt
Filed under: uncultured bacterium
Lineage: Bacteria
Description: partial 16S ribosomal RNA
Rfam family: Bacterial small subunit ribosomal RNA
Source: RNAcentral